GCCUGCGUGAUGGAAUGGUAGACAUAACAGACUUAAAAUCUGUGGGGCAUUGCCCUUGCCGGUUCAAGUCCGGCCGUAGGUACCA
This 85-nucleotide transfer RNA is filed under the name Rickettsiales bacterium. RNAcentral's name for it is "tRNA-Leu". It matches the Rfam family "tRNA". From Rfam's summary of the family: Transfer RNA (tRNA) molecules are approximately 80 nucleotides in length. Their secondary structure includes four short double-helical elements and three loops (D, anti-codon, and T loops). Lineage: Bacteria; Pseudomonadati; Pseudomonadota; Alphaproteobacteria; Rickettsiales. The record is from RNAcentral.